This 92-nucleotide transfer RNA is filed under the name Clostridia bacterium. RNAcentral describes it as "tRNA-Ser". It matches the Rfam family "tRNA". From Rfam's summary of the family: Transfer RNA (tRNA) molecules are approximately 80 nucleotides in length. Their secondary structure includes four short double-helical elements and three loops (D, anti-codon, and T loops). The record is from RNAcentral. Lineage: Bacteria; Bacillati; Bacillota; Clostridia. RNAcentral also lists the same sequence under 1 other name.
GGAGAGAUGGCUGAGUUGGUCUAAGGCGCACGACUGGAAAUCGUGUGACCGCUAAUACCGGUCCAUGAGUUCGAAUCUCAUUCUCUCCGCCA